AUACUUACCUGGCAGGGGCGAUUCCAUGAUCAUGAAGGUGGUUUUCCCAGGGCAAGGCUUAUCCAUUGCACUCCGGAUGUGCUGACCCCUGCAAUUUCCUCAAGUGUGGGAAACUUGACUGCAUAAUUUGUGGUAGUGGAGGACUGCGUUCACACUCUCCCCUG
Molecule: small nuclear RNA, 164 nt
Filed under: Echinops telfairi (small Madagascar hedgehog)
Lineage: Eukaryota; Metazoa; Chordata; Mammalia; Afrosoricida; Tenrecidae
Description: U1 spliceosomal RNA (ENSETEG00000021725.1)
Rfam family: U1 spliceosomal RNA
About the family: U1 is a small nuclear RNA (snRNA) component of the spliceosome (involved in pre-mRNA splicing).
Source: RNAcentral